GGAAGAUAUUUCCUUUUUCACCGUAGGCCUCAAAGCGCUCCAAAUGUCCACUUCCACAUACUACAAAAAGAGUGUUUCAAACCUGCUCUAUGAUAGGGAAUGUUGAAACCUAUGAGUUGAAUGCAAACAUUACAAAGAGGUUUCUGAGAAUGCUUCUGUCUAGAUUUUAUAUGUAGAUAUUCCCGUUUCCAACGAAAUCCUCAAAGCUAUCCAAAUAUCAACUUGCAGAUUCUACAAAAGGAAUGUUUCCAAAAUGCUGUAUCCAAACAAAGGUUCAACUCUGUGAAUUGAGGGCAUACAUCACAAAGAAGAUUCUGAGAAUGCUUCUGUCUAGAUUUUAUAUGAAAAUAUUCCCGUUUCCAACGAAAUCCUCAAAGCUAUCCAAAUAUCCACUUGCAAAUGCCACAAAAAGAGUGUUUCCAAACUGCUCUGUGAAAAGGAAGGUUCAACUCUGUUAGUUGAGUACACACAUCACAAAGAGGUUUCUGAGAAUGCUGCUGACUAGUUUUUAUUUGAAGAUAUUUCCCUUUUCACCUUAGGCCUAAGAG
This 548-nucleotide long non-coding RNA is filed under the name Homo sapiens (human). Its description in RNAcentral is "HSALNT0379645". The record is from RNAcentral. Lineage: Eukaryota; Metazoa; Chordata; Mammalia; Primates; Hominidae.